UGGGGAAUUUUGGACAAUGGGCGCAAGCCUGAUCCAGCCAUGCCGCGUGCGGGAAGAAGGCCUUCGGGUUGUAAACCGCUUUUGUCAGGGAAGAAAUCCUUUGAGCUAAUACCUCGGGGGGAUGACGGUACCUGAAGAAUAAGCACCGGCUAACUACGUGCCAGCAGCCGCGGUAAUACGUAGGGUGCAAGCGUUAACCGGAAUUACUGGGCGUAAAGCGUGCGCAGGCGGCUCUAUAAGACAGAUGUGAAAUCCCCGGGCCCAACCUGGGAACUGCAUUUGUGACUGUAUAGCUAGAGUACGGCAGAGGAGGAGGGAAUUCCGCGUGUAGCAGUAAAAUGCGUAGAUAUGCGGGGGAACACCGAUGGCGAAGGCAAUCCCCUGGACCUGUACUGACGCUCAUGCACGAAAGCGUGGGGAGCAAAC
This 426-nucleotide ribosomal RNA is filed under the name uncultured bacterium. Its description in RNAcentral is "bacterial SSU rRNA". It matches the Rfam family "Bacterial small subunit ribosomal RNA", at positions 355 to 773 of the family's 1533-position model. The record is from RNAcentral.